This 468-nucleotide ribosomal RNA is filed under the name Bacillus sp. (in: firmicutes). RNAcentral describes it as "bacterial SSU rRNA". It matches the Rfam family "Bacterial small subunit ribosomal RNA", at positions 335 to 796 of the family's 1533-position model. The record is from RNAcentral. Lineage: Bacteria; Bacillati; Bacillota; Bacilli; Caryophanales; Bacillaceae.
UUUCCUACGGGAGGCAGCAGUAGGGAAUCUUCCGCAAUGGACGAAAGUCUGACGGAGCAACGCCGCGUGAGUGAUGAAGGCUUUCGGGUCGUAAAACUCUGUUGUUAGGGAAGAACAAGUACGAGAGUAACUGCUCGUACCUUGACGGUACCUAACCAGAAAGCCACGGCUAACUACGUGCCAGCAGCCGCGGUAAUACGUAGGUGGCAAGCGUUAUCCGGAAUUAUUGGGCGUAAAGCGCGCGCAGGCGGUUUCUUAAGUCUGAUGUGAAAGCCCACGGCUCAACCGUGGAGGGUCAUUGGAAACUGGGGAACUUGAGUGCAGAAGAGAAAAGCGGAAUUCCACGUGUAGCGGUGAAAUGCGUAGAGAUGUGGAGGAACACCAGUGGCGAAGGCGGCUUUUUGGUCUGUAACUGACGCUGAGGCGCGAAAGCGUGGGGAGCAAACAGGAUUAAUACCCUGGUAGUCC